CCUACGGGUGGCAGCAGUGAGGAAUAUUGGUCAAUGGGCGCAAGUCUGAACCAGCCAUGCCGCGUGCAGGAAGACUGCCCUAUGAGUUGUACACUGCUUUUGUACGAGGGUAAACGCAGAUACGCGUACCUGUCUGAAAGUAUUUUACGAAUAAGGAUCGGCUAACUCCGUGCCAGCAGCCGCGGUAAUACGGAGGAUUCGAGCGUUAUCCGGAUUUAUUGGGUUUAAAGGGUGCGUAGGCGGUCGGUUAAGUUAGAUGUGAAAUCCCGAGGCUCAACUUUGGAAUUGCCAUUGAUACUGGCAGGCUAGAGAGUAGUUGAGGUAGGCGGAAUGUAUGGUGGAGCGGUGAAAUGCUUAGAGAUCAUACAGAACACCGAUUGCGAAGGCAGCCUACCAAGCUACUUCUGACGUUGAGGCACGAAAGCGUGGGGAGCAAACAGGAUUAGAUACCCGUGUAGUC
RNAcentral lists this ribosomal RNA (460 nucleotides) under uncultured bacterium. RNAcentral's name for it is "partial 16S ribosomal RNA". It matches the Rfam family "Bacterial small subunit ribosomal RNA", at positions 338 to 795 of the family's 1533-position model. The record is from RNAcentral.